UAAAGACUCAAAUGAAUUGACGGGGGCCCGCACAAGCGGUGGAGCAUGUGGUUUAAUUCGAUGCAACGCGAAGAACCUUACCUACUCUUGACAUCCAGAGAACUUAGCAGAGAUGCUUUGGUGCCUUCGGGAACUCUGAGACAGGUGCUGCAUGGCUGUCUUCACUCGUGUUGUGAAAUGUUGGGUUAAGUCCCGCAACGAGCGCAACCCUUAUCCUUUGUUGCCAGCGGUUAGGCCGGGAACUCAAAGGAGACUGCCAGUGAUAAACUGGAGGAAGGUGGGGAUGACGUCAAGUCAUCAUGGCCCUUACGAGUAGGGCUACACACGUGCUACAAUGGCGUAUACAAAGAGAAGCGACCUCGCGAGAGCAAGCGGACCUCAUAAAGUACGUCGUAGUCCGGAUUGGAGUCUGCAACUCGACUCCAUGAAGUCGGAAUCGCUAGUAAUCGUAGAUCAGAAUGC
This 462-nucleotide ribosomal RNA is filed under the name Pectobacterium carotovorum. RNAcentral describes it as "bacterial SSU rRNA". It matches the Rfam family "Bacterial small subunit ribosomal RNA", at positions 894 to 1357 of the family's 1533-position model. Lineage: Bacteria; Pseudomonadati; Pseudomonadota; Gammaproteobacteria; Enterobacterales; Pectobacteriaceae. The record is from RNAcentral.